Molecule: RNA transcript, 1564 nt
Organism: Mustela erminea (ermine)
Lineage: Eukaryota; Metazoa; Chordata; Mammalia; Carnivora; Mustelidae
Gene name: collagen alpha-1(I) chain-like
Exons: 2
Source: RefSeq, a predicted model, not a curated record
CGCCAGGAGGGACGUGCUGGGGGGGCCGAGCGCGCAGGCGCCUUGGCGCUGCCGACCCCCGGGAGGCCGCCGCUGCCGACCCCCGGGAGGCCGCCCCCCGCUCCGACGAGCACCCGGGAUGCCUGUGCGCGGGGAGGCGGGCAGGGCUGGGCUGCGUCGUCCCGGCACGGGCCGCAAGGCUUUUGGGUUGUUUUUUUAUGACGUCCCCGCGCGGGCCGGGGGCGGGUCGGGGGCGGGUCGGGGCGGGCCGGGGGCGGGGUCCUCUGGCCCGGGCGAGGCGGAGGCGGGCGGACUCCUUCCUCGGGUGGUUCUGGGCGAGCGGAAAGGGCGGCCCCGCCGGCCGUGCCGGGGGCGGGAGGGCGGAGUGAGAGCCCGGGCCCCCGACGGGCGGCGCCUCCGUGUCCCGUCCGGGGAGCGGAGAGUGGGGCCGAGCGUGGGGCGCGGUGCGGAGGCCCCGCGAGCUGAGUGCGCCCCGAGGCCGAGGCGCGGAGGAACCGCGCUGCUCGCGUCGGUCGGACGAGCUGGACUCGCGAGCGGCGGCACCGGCUCCCCGGAGAGGCUGGGCAGAGGAGUGGACCCCGCUGUCGGCGCCCGCCUCGGCCUAGCCCCCAGACCGAGUCCGCCCCGCGGACGAGCCCCGGGCCUGGCUGUGCCCUCAUCUCCCCGGCGCUCCCUUCGUCCCGACGGCGCCUGGGCUCGGCCCGGGCUGGUCCUGGACACACGCGCCCCCGCCGGGGCACUCGGCGUGAGAGUUGAGCCCGGCGCCCCGGCCUCCGGCCUCCACAUCCUCGGGGUGACAGCUCCCCGGGCGGUGGGCGUGGCGCUACGGUGCGGCGCGGGGGCCGCCCACAGCUGCAGGGGUUGUGCCCGGACCCCUGGCCCCUGGCCCCUGGCCGUGGCCCAUGUGAGGACACGCAGGUGAACCUACCUGAGGCAAAGAAAGCAAAAUUCCAACGUGGGGACGGGGACGGAGAUCUCUGAGGAGGAUCUCAGGGCCGGGGCCUUGACUGGCUCACCUCUGCCCUGCACCCUGGGGGACCUGGAGCAGGCCCCUUGUGGGUGGAAAGAGAACACCGGGCCCCAGUGGCUGAGCUGGGAGGGCCUGGGCCUGGAGAAAUGGGGCCUUCUCAUCACCACAAGCCUUGUGAACCUGCUUGGCACUCAGGAACCUGAGUCCCUGGAGGAGAAAGUGCCAUAACCCUGUGUGUGCUCCCGGAUCCAGCUGGGCUGGCCUUCCCUGAAAGCCCCCAAAAGGCAGACUGAUAAAUUUCUUCUGUUCCUCCUCAGUUGGUCUGACUUGGGUCUUCCCUUACAUGUCGCAGAAGAGCCUGCGUCCGAUGGAAGUUCUGUAGCCGCCUUGGAGAUGGUCCUCAGAGGCUAAGCUGAGUCCCAGCUUCUCUGUUCGAAGAGUUACAUGAGCUGACGUCUGAGACGCUUUCUUGUGGCUCCUCAAGAGGUUAUGGACGGGCGCCUGCGUGGCUCCGUGGGUGAAGCCGCUGCCUUCGGCUCAGGUCAUGGUCUCAGGGUCUUGGGAUCGAGCCCCGCGUCGGGCUCUCUGCUCAGC